CAACAUAACUGGCUUAUUUACAUUAAAUACGCCACAAGGUUACAGUGCAGAUCAACGUCACUUUAUCGCUGAUUACUUCUCUUAAACGCCGGAGCGGUGACUGAUGCUCCGGUCCCCCUGUCCGCCAAGGUUUCCCCGGGAGUUUUUUUUUUUUUUUUUUUUUUUUUCGGAGAAACAGACUUUGCAUAGUUUCGGGAGCAGGUUUUAUUUUUCCAGUUGUGACCUUCAGUACCCAUCCUGUGUCUUUUAAGAAUUUCCUCAUCCAGGGAACAGAUUUGUUGGCCUAAGAAUAACUGCAAAGGGUCUACAAGAGUGUUGGUCACCUGUUGAUUAAAGAAUUAAAUCUCAGCAAACUCCAGCCUGGUAAGUUCAAUCAGCCCUGCAGCUCCAAGUACCUGUGCUUUGGGAAGGUGGGUGAUGGUCUUGGAACAGAGUCCAGACCUCCCUCAGCUCCUGGUCAGAGACUUCUCAAUGCA
This 476-nucleotide long non-coding RNA is filed under the name Parus major (Great Tit). RNAcentral describes it as "lncRNA (ENSPMJG00000003209.1)". Lineage: Eukaryota; Metazoa; Chordata; Aves; Passeriformes; Paridae. The record is from RNAcentral.